This 292-nucleotide ribosomal RNA is filed under the name uncultured bacterium. Its description in RNAcentral is "partial 16S ribosomal RNA". The record is from RNAcentral.
GGACUACAGGGGUAUCUAAUCCUGUUUGCUUCCCACGCUUUCGCGUCUCAGUGUCAGUCUCUGCCCAGAGAGCCGCCUUCGCCACUGGUGUUCCUCCCGAUAUCUACGAAUUUCACCUCUACACCGGGAAUUCCGCUCUCCUCUUCAGGACUCCAGCCACGUAGUAUCGAGUGCCCUUCCGGGGUUGAGCCCCGGGCUUUCACACCCGACUCGCCUGGCCACCUACACGCGCUUUACGCCCAGUAAUUCCGAGCAACGUUCGCACCCUCUGUCUUACCGCGGCUGCUGGCAC